Molecule: ribosomal RNA, 696 nt
Filed under: Streptomyces cacaoi
Lineage: Bacteria; Bacillati; Actinomycetota; Actinomycetes; Kitasatosporales; Streptomycetaceae
Description: bacterial SSU rRNA
Rfam family: Bacterial small subunit ribosomal RNA
Source: RNAcentral
AGACGGAGUUUCGGCCGGGGAUUAGUGGCGAACGGGUGAGUAACACGUGGGCAAUCUGCCCUGCACUCUGGGACAAGCCCUGGAAACGGGGUCUAAUACCGGAUAUGACCACUUGGGGCAUCUCAUGGUGGUGGAAAGCUCCGGCGGUGCAGGAUGAGCCCGCGGCCUAUCAGCUUGUUGGUGGGGUGAUGGCCUACCAAGGCGACGACGGGUAGCCGGCCUGAGAGGGCGACCGGCCACACUGGGACUGAGACACGGCCCAGACUCCUACGGGAGGCAGCAGUGGGGAAUAUUGCACAAUGGGCGCAAGCCUGAUGCAGCGACGCCGCGUGAGGGAUGACGGCCUUCGGGUUGUAAACCUCUUUCAGCAGGGAAGAAGCUUUUGUGACGGUACCUGCAGAAGAAGCACCGGCUAACUACGUGCCAGCAGCCGCGGUAAUACGUAGGGUGCGAGCGUUGUCCGGAAUUAUUGGGCGUAAAGAGCUCGUAGGCGGCUUGUCGCGUCGGAUGUGAAAGCCCGGGGCUUAACCCCGGGUCUGCAUUCGAUACGGGCAGGCUGGAGUUCGGCAGGGGAGAUUGGAAUUCCUGGUGUAGCGGUGAAAUGCGCAGAUAUCAGGAGGAACACCGGUGGCGAAGGCGGAUCUCUGGGCCGAUACUGACGCUGAGGACAAAAGCGCGGGGGAAAAAAAAAAAAGA